RNAcentral lists this ribosomal RNA (470 nucleotides) under Neisseria sicca. RNAcentral describes it as "bacterial SSU rRNA". It matches the Rfam family "Bacterial small subunit ribosomal RNA", at positions 30 to 487 of the family's 1533-position model. Lineage: Bacteria; Pseudomonadati; Pseudomonadota; Betaproteobacteria; Neisseriales; Neisseriaceae. The record is from RNAcentral.
AUUGAACGCUGGCGGCAUGCUUUACACAUGCAAGUCGGACGGCAGCACAGAGAAGCUUGCUUCUUGGGUGGCGAGUGGCGAACGGGUGAGUAACAUAUCGGAACGUACCGGGCAGUGGGGGAUAACUAAUCGAAAGAUUAGCUAAUACCGCAUAUCUUCUGAGGAAGAAAGCAGGGGACCAUUUGGCCUUGCGCUGUUUGAGCGGCCGAUAUCUGAUUAGCUAGUUGGUGGGGUAAAGGCCUACCAAGGCGACGACCAGUAGCGGGUCUGAGAGGAUGAUCCGCCACACCGGGACUGAGACACGGCCCAGACUCCUACGGGAGGCAGCAGUGGGGAAUUUUGGACAAUGGGCGCAAGCCUGAUCCAGCCAUGCCGCGUGUCUGAAGAAGGCCUUCGGGUUGUAAAGGACUUUUGUCAGGGAAGAAAAGGGCGGGGUUAAUACCCCUGUCUGAUGACGGUACCUGAAGAUA